UUAGAAUCUAAGUCCGUUUUGGAAAUGGAAGUUUGACUGAAAUGCGUGAUUUAAGAUCCUCGCCAAGUCGCCAUCUUCAUCGUUCGUAGCGACUGAGUUGAUUGAGAGAGGGAUUAGUGGUGCAGAUUACACUGAUAGGAAAUGGCGGCGAUUACUUUCGACUACAUGCCUAGAGUCAAACAUAACAGUAAUGGCGUCCAUUUGGUUCCGAGAAAUAAGAAUCUACGGCAUUGUCUUGUACGCUCGAAUUCAAACUUGUUUGGGCACAAACUUGCUGCCGGUUAUGAACCGCUCUCAUUUUCGGCUUCAACCGAGAAAGCUCGGAGGAGUGGAUACGUGCCGCCGCUUCGUGUUGCCGGUUCGAAGCAGAGUUCCGCGUCCUGCUCCUUCGAUGUUGUGAUAAUCGGUGCCGGAAUCAUCGGUUUGUCCAUCGCGCGCCACUUCCUUCUCGGAUCGGAUCUCUCCGUUGCCGUGAUUGAUGCCGCUGUGCCUUGCUCCGGCGCUACUGGGGCAGGGCAAGGCUACGUGUGGAAAAUUAACAAAGUACCGGAGAGUGAUAAAUGGGAACUGGUAAUGAGAAGCCAUCAACUUUGGGAGAUCCUUGCCAAGAACAUUGAACUUGAAGGCAUGGAUCCUUCAGAGAUAUUUGGAUGGAAGAAGACAGGAAGCUUGUUAAUUGGUAGAACUUCUGAGGAAUCCUCUAUCUUGAGAAGGAAGAUCAAGCAGCUAUCUGAUGCGGGUGUCAGAGCAGAAUUCUUGACAAGAAAUGACUUGCUCUCUGAAGAACCUGCACUUCUGCUUGAAAAGGAAGGCGGAGCAGCAUAUGUACCGGAUGACUGCCAAUUGGAUGCUCGACGUGCGGUUGCAUUUAUUGAGAAGGGUAAUAGGGUUUUUGCUGCAGAAGGUAGAUAUGCAGAGUUCUAUCAUGAGCCUGCUACUUCCUUAUUAAGGUCUGCUAACACCGGGGAAGUUGAAGCAGUUCAGACUUCCAAGACCAUUUUGCAUAGUAAGAAGGCUGUUAUACUUGCAGCCGGUUGUUGGAGUGGUUCUUUGAUACAUGAUCUGAUUAAGCAUCACAAUAUUGAAGUGGAUCUCCCUGUCAAGCCUCGAAAGGGUCACCUACUUGUGAUAGAGAACUUUAAGCCCUUUAAGCUGAAUCAUGGUCUUAUGGAGGCUGGGUAUGUCAACCAUCAAUCUGCUAUUCUGAAAUCUGCACCUAAUUCAGGAUCCAUUUAUGAUGCACAAUGUACAUCCGUCUCAAUGACAGCCACUAUGGACACGUCUGGUGGUCUUGUUCUUGGUAGCAGCCGACAACUUGUUGGCUUUAGCACUGAGGUGGAUGAAUCUAUCAUCGACCGGAUAUGGGAGCGGGCUGGAGAGUUUUUUCCUUUGCUGAGAAAAGAAUCUCUAAUAGAUCUGCAACAAAACAGAGAAGUGAGAGUGGGACUGAGACCCUACUUGCCUGAUGGGAAGCCGGCGAUUGGACCUGUACCUGGAUUCUCAAAUCUGUUUGUGGCAGCUGGCCAUGAAGGAGAAGGACUUACACUGGCUCCCGGAACUGCUGAAAUGAUUGUUGAUAUGGUGCUGGGGAAUCCUUGGAAAGUUGAUCCAGCUCCAUUUGCUGUGCAAGCUCGUUUUCAUUCAUGAAUUUGCACUGCAGAGUUUUCAAAGGAUCAUAAUGGCUUCCUUCUCUGUCCUUCCCGGCUACCAUUAUCAGGAUUUUUUUAUAAGAUUUAUACACCCAUAUACCUACGGCAGGAGGAAAAUACAUAAAAUAGUUGGGCUGAGCCGCUCGCCUUUCCAGUUUUUGAAUUCUAGGCUUCCUGUUGGCCGCCGGCAGCGGCGGCGGCAUCGGGGCCACUAGCACGGCUAACAUAUACGGUGAUGGACACAAAAACGUAGAUGAUUAUUCCGGUCAACGACAACGGGAUCAAGAACGCAACACUCACAAGGGUGGACGCAGCCAUGCAAGAAAGCACUCCCAGCCUCAACUCGACCACAUACACCACAGACACCAGCAAGAACAAGCACCCCACCAUCGACGACAUCGCCGAGAAGAGGACUCCCGUCGUCAACCAAAACGACGACUCCGGGGAGCCAUCAUCCUCUCCGGCGGCCUGGAGAUCCAGCGACAGCUUGGUCGAGAGGGCGACGAGGGAGGAUAAGAGGUAGAAGCUGAAGGAGAUGAUCUCGAAGACGACGAGCAUCUUGGCGGUGUUGGCUCCCGGCUGGCACUCCUCCCGGACGUUAAGGCUCUGCAACUCCUCCGGCGAGACCAGAUCAUAAUCCAGCCCCAAAAACAUGGCAAUGGUGAACAGUGAGUUCACAUCCACCACACUGUCCAGUGCCGUCACGUGCACGUUCUUCUUGGUAGGAUGGCCUUUUCUGCAUC
Ipomoea nil (Japanese morning glory) is the source of this 2392-nucleotide RNA transcript. RefSeq lists it as uncharacterized. NCBI's taxonomy places the organism in Eukaryota, Viridiplantae, Streptophyta, Magnoliopsida, Solanales, Convolvulaceae. The record is from RefSeq and is a predicted model, not a curated record. The transcript is spliced from 11 exons.